RNAcentral lists this long non-coding RNA (327 nucleotides) under Zostera marina. RNAcentral's name for it is "long non-coding RNA (ZMAR_LNC002901)". The record is from RNAcentral. Lineage: Eukaryota; Viridiplantae; Streptophyta; Magnoliopsida; Alismatales; Zosteraceae.
AUCGUCUAUGGAUGCCGAUCAGUUUGUCCUUUCUAAGAGGAAGGGGAGUAAGUAAAUAUAAAAUCAAUACCGAAAUUUUAAUUUUGUUCAUUAUUCAGUAUCGGUGCUUAAUUAUUAAUGACAAUGAACGGUUUUAAUAUUUGAAGGUGCAAUCCCUGAGAAAGAUCCAAAGAAAUCUAAAGAAAUGGAUUUUGAGUCAACACUAAGGAAGUUGAUGACUGAUGAUCAGAAACGUCUGAACGCGAAGAAGACUGAUGGUGUAGUUCCUAAGCCAAAUCGUAGGAUGAAGAAGAAGAUGCAGGCAAGGAAGAAAAAGAAAUCGAUGAC